GAGCUUGCUCUAGGGGAUUAGUGGCGAACGGGUGAGUAACACGUGAGUAACCUGCCCUUGACUCUGGGAUAACCUCCGGAAACGGAAGCUAAUACCGGAUAUGACGUACGGAGGCAUCUCCUGUACGUGGAAAGAAUUUCGGUCAAGGAUGGACUCGCGGCCUAUCAGGUAGUUGGUGAGGUAACGGCCCACCAAGCCUACGACGGGUAGCCGGCCUGAGAGGGUGACCGGCCACACUGGGACUGAGACACGGCCCAGACUCCUACGGGAGGCAGCAGUGGGGAAUAUUGCACAAUGGGCGCAAGCCUGAUGCAGCAACGCCGCGUGAGGGAUGACGGCCUUCGGGUUGUAAACCUCUUUUAGUAGGGAAGAAGCGAAAGUGACGGUACCUGCAGAAAAAGCACCGGCUAACUACGUGCCAGCAGCCGCGGUAAUACGUAGGGUGCGAGCGUUGUCCGGAAUUAUUGGGCGUAAAGAGCUCGUAGGCGGUCUGUCGCGUCUGCUGUGAAAACCCGAGGCUCAACCUCGGGCCUGCAGUGGGUACGGGCAGACUAGAGUGCGGUAGGGGAGAAUGGAAUUCCUGGUGUAGCGGUGGAAUGCGCAGAUAUCAGGAGGAACACCGAUGGCGAAGGCAGUUCUCUGGGCCGUAACUGACGCUGAGGAGCGAAAGCGUGGGGGAGCGAACAGGAUUAGAUACCCUGGUAGUCCACGCCGUAAACGUUGGGCGCUAGAUGUGGGGACCAUUCCACGGUUUCCGUGUCGCAGCUAACGCAUUAAGCGCCCCGCCUGGGGAGUACGGCCGCAAGGCUAAAACUCAAAGGAAUUGACGGGGGCCCGCACAAGCGGCGGAGCAUGCGGAUUAAUUCGAUGCAACGCGAAGAACCUUACCAAGGCUUGACAUAUACGAGAACGGGCCAGAAAUGGUCAACUCUUUGGACACUCGUAAACAGGUGGUGCAUGGUUGUCGUCAGCUCGUGUCGUGAGAUGUUGGGUUAAGUCCCGCAACGAGCGCAACCCUCGUUCUAUGUUGCCAGCACGUAAUGGUGGGAACUCAUAGGAGACUGCCGGGGUCAACUCGGAGGAAGGUGGGGAUGACGUCAAAUCAUCAUGCCCCUUAUGUCUUGGGCUUCACGCAUGCUACAAUGGCCGGUACAAAGGGCUGCAAUACCGUAAGGUGGAGCGAAUCCCAAAAAGCCGGUCUCAGUUCGGAUUGAGGUCUGCAACUCGACCUCAUGAAGUCGGAGUCGCUAGUAAUCGCAGAUCAGCAACGCUGCGGUGAAUACGUUCCCGGGCCUUGUACACACCGCCCGUCAAGUCAUGAAAGUCGGUAACACCCGAAGCCG
RNAcentral lists this ribosomal RNA (1343 nucleotides) under Leifsonia soli. RNAcentral describes it as "16S ribosomal RNA". It matches the Rfam family "Bacterial small subunit ribosomal RNA", at positions 76 to 1429 of the family's 1533-position model. The record is from RNAcentral. Lineage: Bacteria; Bacillati; Actinomycetota; Actinomycetes; Micrococcales; Microbacteriaceae.